RNAcentral lists this long non-coding RNA (236 nucleotides) under Medicago truncatula (barrel medic). Its description in RNAcentral is "long non-coding RNA (MTRU_LNC003711)". Lineage: Eukaryota; Viridiplantae; Streptophyta; Magnoliopsida; Fabales; Fabaceae. The record is from RNAcentral.
UAACAUUUUGUCACAUCUUCUCUUGAAUUGGAAACAUCAGAACAAAAUCAUGCUUCAGCUUUCAACACUGAGCUAAACUCGGAACAACCUAUUGAUGCAGAAAUGCCACAACCACCGUCGGAACCACCACAGCCCCAAAAUGACACAGUAACAAUCUGCCUUGAAAACCCACCUCAAAACUCCUCCGAUUCAUCCUCCCAACAAUAACAAGAUCCCCUUUCGCGCUCGCCUUCACC